This 389-nucleotide ribosomal RNA is filed under the name Pseudomonas sp. M13-2. RNAcentral describes it as "bacterial SSU rRNA". It matches the Rfam family "Bacterial small subunit ribosomal RNA", at positions 30 to 420 of the family's 1533-position model. The record is from RNAcentral. Lineage: Bacteria; Pseudomonadati; Pseudomonadota; Gammaproteobacteria; Pseudomonadales; Pseudomonadaceae.
UUGANCGCUGGCGGCAGGCCUAACACAUGCAAGUCGAGCGGAUGAAGGGAGCUUGCUCCUGGAUUUAGCGGCGGACGGGUGAGUAAAGCCUAGGAAUCUGCCUGGUAGUGGGGGACAACGACUCGAAAGGGUCGCUAAUACCGCAUACGUCCUACGGGAGAAAGUGGGGGAUCUUCGGACCUCACGCUAUCAGAUGAGCCUAGGUCGGAUUAGCUAGUAGGUGAGGUAAUGGCUCACCUAGGCGACGAUCCGUAACUGGUCUGAGAGGAUGAUCAGUCACACUGGAACUGAGACACGGUCCAGACUCCUACGGGAGGCAGCAGUGGGGAAUAUUGGACAAUGGGCGAAAGCCUGAUCCAGCCAUGCCGCGUGUGUGAAGAAGGUCUUCG